This 397-nucleotide ribosomal RNA is filed under the name uncultured bacterium. RNAcentral's name for it is "partial 16S ribosomal RNA". It matches the Rfam family "Bacterial small subunit ribosomal RNA", at positions 523 to 918 of the family's 1533-position model. The record is from RNAcentral.
AUACGUAGGGGGCGAGCGUUGUCCGGAAUGAUUGGGCGUAAAGGGCACGUAGGCGGCCCGGUAAGUCUGGAGUGAAAGUCCUGUUUUUAAGAUGGGAAUUGCUUUGGAUACUGUCGGGCUUGAGUGCAGGAGAGGUAAGUGGAAUUCCCAGUGUUGCGGUGAAAUUCGUAGAGAUUGGGAGGAACACCAGUGGCGAAGGCGACUUACUGGACUGUAACUGACGCUGAGGCGCGAAAGUGUGGGGAGCAAACAGGAUUAGAUACCCUGGUAGUCCACACUGUAAACGAUGAAUGCUAGGUGUAGGGGGUAUCGACCCCUUCUGUGCCGCAGUCAACACAAUAAGCAUUCCGCCUGGGGAGUACGGCCGCAAGGUUGAAACUCAAAGGAAUUGGCGGGG